AACGAACGCUGGCGGCAUGCCUAACACAUGCAAGUCGAACGAAGGCUUCGGCCUUAGUGGCGCACGGGUGCGUAACGCGUGGGAAUCUGCCCCUCGGUUCGGAAUAACAGUUAGAAAUGACUGCUAAUACCGGAUGAUGACUUCGGUCCAAAGAUUUAUCGCCGAGGGAUGAGCCCGCGUAAGAUUAGGUAGUUGAUGGGGUAAAGGCCUACCAAGCCGACGAUCUUUAGCUGGUCUGAGAGGAUGAUCAGCCACACUGGGACUGAGACACAGCCCAGACUCCUACGGGAGGCAGCAGUGGGGAAUAUUGGACAAUGGGCGAAAGCCUGAUCCAGCAAUGCCGCGUGAGUGAUGAAGGCCUUAGGGUUGUAAAGCUCUUUUACCAGGGAUGAUAAUGACAGUACCUGGAGAACAAGCUCCGGCUAACUCCGUGCCAGCCGCCGCGGUAA
RNAcentral lists this ribosomal RNA (449 nucleotides) under uncultured bacterium. Its description in RNAcentral is "partial 16S ribosomal RNA". It matches the Rfam family "Bacterial small subunit ribosomal RNA", at positions 29 to 523 of the family's 1533-position model. The record is from RNAcentral.